Molecule: long non-coding RNA, 1520 nt
Organism: Oreochromis aureus
Lineage: Eukaryota; Metazoa; Chordata; Actinopteri; Cichliformes; Cichlidae
Exons: 3
Source: RefSeq, a predicted model, not a curated record
UGCUACGUGACUUGUCCAGUGUACGUGACCGUUUAGCAAUAACAGGAAACAUCUGGUGUAGGGAGUGAAGGGUCUUCAGGGUCCGAUGUACUGGAAUGUUCUUGGAUUACGGGAAUUGAUACUUGGAUUUCCAGUAAAUCCAACUGCUUUGACGCAUGAUGCUCGUCAUCAACUGUUAUAAAUACAACUGUUCAUCUGUUGUUCUGGGGAGAUCGGCUUUGGAAGUGUGAUAAUGCUCACCUUCCCCACAUGUAUACAAUCACUAUUUUGACAUCUACUGGGACUUUGCAGUCGUUUGUCCCCCACCUCAAAUUACGAACCAUGACAGUUUUGGUGCCGAAAACCCGGUUUGAGGAGGGACUUUGGUUGGUGGUUUGGCUGAGGUCCAGUGGUGUCAAAUAGACGGACAGGAGUCCGGCAGGUCGACUGAGGGACGGGGGCCCUUAAUAGAAAGACACAGAGUGCAGUUCCUGAAGCACAAGCAUGAACAUCAACAGUGGACAGAAGUCCAAGAGACAACACCAGAGACCUGAGCAGAGAGGUCCAGCAGCACUAUGGGCAAACGGCAUCAGAAAGAGAAGAUCCACCAUCUAGAUUGGAUGAAUGGAGAUGAGUUUCCAGCAAGCUGCAACCUCACUGUGAAGGACCUUUGAGAAGUCUGUCGGAGUUUGACAUUUGCCAUGUUUGGAGCAAGAUGGCAAUGAAAGAAACAGUGGGACAAAGAGAUACGCGGGACAAAGCUGAAGAAGACUGCAUGCUAUUGGGCUGUAUAGUGGGGGAGAUGAACGGAGAGAAUGGAGCAGGUGAGGACAGAGGCUGCUGUUUUAGUGUGGGGAAUCAAAUUGGGUUAGAGAAUCCAGGGAGACAGACGACUGCCUGAAAGUGGAGGAUUGACAAAGUGUCCAGACCACCACAAAAGGGGGAGGAAGACAAGCACUGAGAUACUGGAACAUCACAGCUCCUCACAAACUCAGGAUAUGGAAGAAGAUGAACUUUUCCAGUCACUCGCUGGGAUACAUCAUUCAAUUAUUCUGGAUCCUCAGGAAACAUUGAUUUAUUUUUGUAUUUCAUAUAUUUGUUUGUCCAGAUCAAAGAUUUAUGUUAGUAGAGAAGAAGUCACCAUGAUAAAGCCUGUGUGUGAAAAUAAGAUCAGUGAAUUUUGUUGAUCAAAAUCACAUUUAAGGAGGAAUUCUGUCCUCCAGUUUGUUUAAAUAAGCUUUGGGAUUAAACACCAUCAUCUAUGUUUGUGUCUGAUGACAUGUUUGAUCCAGUUCAGCUUGAACAUCACAGCUGAUGUGUGAACUCUGACAUAUUUAAGCCUCGAUUAUCAGGAUGAUUCAAACACAUCUGUUUAAAUCACGAGAUUUAUGUUUCCACACAAAGUUAUAAAGUGCAGCAUCGACUGUUUUCUGAAUGAUUCAGGAACAUCUGUGACUCUUACAGGAUACACUAAGUCAGAUAAUCUCUCUUUGUAAAAUGUCUGAAUGACUUUUUGAAGUACUGACCAAAAUCUGCUGGUU